This 343-nucleotide long non-coding RNA is filed under the name Cairina moschata (Muscovy duck). RNAcentral's name for it is "domestica (muscovy Duck (domestic type)) lncRNA (ENSCMMG00000000960.1)". The record is from RNAcentral. Lineage: Eukaryota; Metazoa; Chordata; Aves; Anseriformes; Anatidae.
GAAAUACUUGAAGGAAACUUUGAGGCAUGAAGCAGCUGUAGGCAGCUGGAGAGCAAGGUCACGGGGGGAGAGCUCCUUCGUUAUGGCUUUUCACAGAAGACUGGACAAACAUCAAGAGAAGAGAUGUGCCAUCACUAAUAACUUCAUCACCUGCCCGAGAGGCAUCGUCUUUGCCGUGUGGAUUAGAGGCUGAAAUGCAGCAUGGACUAAAUGACUUGCCCAAGGUCACGGAGGAAAUCGGUGCCUGAGCCAAGAACUUCAAAACCAGUAUUUCUGAAUCAUGACUGACAUCUUGGUGCCAGCCAGGGUUUGGUUAAGGUGGGGUCCUUGGGCAGAUGGAAAG